CCUACGGGUGGCUGCAGUGAGGAAUAUUGGUCAAUGGACGAGAGUCUGAACCAGCCAAGUAGCGUGAAGGAUGACUGCCCUAUGGGUUGUAAACUUCUUUUAUAUGGGAAUAAAAUGUUACACGUGUGGGAUGUUGUAGGGACCAUAGGAAUAAGGAUCGGCUAACGCCGGGCCAGCAGCCGCGGUAAUACGGAGGAUCCGAGCGUGAUCCGGAGUGAUUGGGUUUAAGAGGAGCGUCAGCUGUUAGGUAAGUCAGCGGUGAAAUGCCCCCGCUCAUCUGGGUGAAGUGCCCUUGAUACUGCCUUGCUUGACUGCUGAUGCCGUGGGCGGAUUGUGUGGUGUAGCGGUGACAUGCAUAGAUAUCACGCAGAACACCGAUUGCGUAGGCAUCUCACGACUCCGCGAUUGACGCUGCUGCACG
This 421-nucleotide ribosomal RNA is filed under the name uncultured bacterium. RNAcentral's name for it is "partial 16S ribosomal RNA". It matches the Rfam family "Bacterial small subunit ribosomal RNA", at positions 338 to 755 of the family's 1533-position model. The record is from RNAcentral.